UACUGCCAUCUGUUGCCAGCUCUUGACACCUUCCACACUUCGAGCAAUCUCUCCGGUAUUUUAUCUUAGCUGUAUUUUUUUUUCUCCCCCAGCUCAGUGCAACCUUUGUUGAAAUGUGCAUUGUAACAGAAGACCAAUUGCAUGUGUCUUUCCCCACGCUAGGCGCCCUGUGUUUGUACAGAUGUCAUCGCAUUGCAUCAGAUCUGAGCUCAGGUUUGCAUGCUGUUUCUUUCACACUGAAAACUCAUGCUAACAGAUCCUCAACACAGGAUAAUUGUAUUGGAGCGAAGCUGUUCAGAUAUUGGUUGCCUGUCAGCAAAGACGGAGGGUUAUGCCUGAUUGAAAUAGCUGCGGCUAAUGGAACUGCUAAUCGAUCACAGAAAUAUGUAUCUGAACCCUCGUCUGAGGUAAAUCCAAUACUAUCACUGAUUUCAAAUGAACUUCAUUUUGUAUUUAACCAGUAAGCAUUUCGCAUUUAUUGUCAAGGCAUCUUUUGGGUUGCGAUCACUAUCCAGUCACGUUUUGAACAGAUGGUAAAAGUGAAGUACAUUCUUGUAUAUUUACUAUGAAUUAGUGUGACCACAUCAGUUAAAAUUAUGUGUGUUCAGGAUAUUCACACACAAUUCACAUCAUAUUAGUUGGUUCUCUUGUUCUCUUAUAUUAAUAAGGUCAAAACCAUGCAUGUUGUGUUUUGAUGAAUAAUACAGUAUGAUGGCAGAUGGUAACCAACCAUGAAUCUGAUUCCUCUAUUGUAGAUAAAUAAAAAUGAAAACAGAUAUAAUCACAAAGCUUGAAAUGGAUUAAUAGAUAAAUGGAGAACAGUGCACUGUUCUCAUAAAGGCCUUUCAUGAUAAUAUGACCAACAGAUCACUCAUUAAGUAAGAAUAAAACAUGAUAUUGAUUGAAAACAUGCUAUUAUAGAAAAAUAAUCAGUGAUGUGGCCUGACGUGAAGCCCUGUUACUGUUACUACUCUGAAGUGGAUUAUUUUCCAAUAACAGCACAAUAUGAAGUGGUCUUUUUCCUAUUAUUCCACAGCAGUUUGCCAAAGAUGAUCAUUUUUUAUGACACAUCAUGCUUUUUAACCUUUUACAGUUGCAUUUUAUGACUGCAAAACAAGUUAUUUCCUGCUAUUGCUAACAUUAUAGCAGCUAUAAGGAUUACUUUAUCCGCCUCUCUUUUUUCUCUCUUGAAGACAAAAAAAACCAACACGACUUCUCAUGUUAGCGAAAAAACAGAAAUUCCCGAAUUCUUCUGUUCUGGAAAUUUUUCUGUGGCAGAAAUCUUACUGGCUGGUACAAAA
This is a long non-coding RNA of Ictalurus punctatus (channel catfish), 1301 nucleotides long. RefSeq lists it as uncharacterized. The transcript is spliced from 2 exons. NCBI's taxonomy places the organism in Eukaryota, Metazoa, Chordata, Actinopteri, Siluriformes, Ictaluridae. The record is from RefSeq and is a predicted model, not a curated record.